This 414-nucleotide ribosomal RNA is filed under the name uncultured bacterium. RNAcentral's name for it is "bacterial SSU rRNA". It matches the Rfam family "Bacterial small subunit ribosomal RNA", at positions 28 to 437 of the family's 1533-position model. The record is from RNAcentral.
GACGAACGCUGGCGGCGUGCCUAACACAUGCAAGUCGUACGGGACCGGGGGCAACUCCGGUUCAGUGGCAGACGGGUGCGUAACACGUGAGGAACCUGUCCGGUGGCGGGGGAUAGCCGGCCCAACGGCCGGGUAAUACCGCAUACGCUCGUUCGGGGGCAUCCCUGGGCGAGGAAAGCAGCCGCAAGGUUGCGCCGACGGAGGGCCUCGCGACCUAUCAGCUUGUUGGCGGGGUAACGGCCCACCAAGGCGACGACGGGUAGCUGGUCUGAGAGGAUGAUCAGCCACAUUGGGACUGAGACACGGCCCAGACUCCUACGGGAGGCAGCAGUGGGGAAUAUUGCGCAAUGGCCGCAAGGCUGACGCAGCGACGCCGCGUGUGGGAUGACGGUCUUCGGAUUGUAAAGCACUUUC